This 222-nucleotide long non-coding RNA is filed under the name Monodelphis domestica (gray short-tailed opossum). Its description in RNAcentral is "lncRNA (ENSMODG00000049365.1)". The record is from RNAcentral. Lineage: Eukaryota; Metazoa; Chordata; Mammalia; Didelphimorphia; Didelphidae.
GAAAGGCCAGCUCAAUGAUUGAGUCACUCACUCUUAGUUGGUGAGCCUGUCUGGAGGAGGAGAUUUUUUUCCCUGGAUCCUGCAUCAGCUUGCUGGCCAUACUGGAAGAGGAUGGAAUUGUUCUUUCAUCUGACUUCUGAUGGCAGGCAACAUGGCCAAAGGCAACCCAGAAUGUGGAAAAUAUUUCUGGAGGACCUGGCAUCAGGAAAAGUUGGGGGUUAA